RNAcentral lists this ribosomal RNA (436 nucleotides) under rape rhizosphere bacterium tsb007. RNAcentral's name for it is "bacterial SSU rRNA". It matches the Rfam family "Bacterial small subunit ribosomal RNA", at positions 27 to 449 of the family's 1533-position model. The record is from RNAcentral.
GGACGAACGCUGGCGGCGUGCCUAAUACAUGCAAGUCGAGNNGAGUUGAUGAGGUGCUUGCACCUCUGAUACUUAGCGGCGGACGGGUGAGUAACACGUGGGUAACCUGCCUGUAAGACUGGGAUAACAUUCGGAAACGAAUGCUAAUACCGGAUACGCGAUAUGGUCGCAUGACUGAAUCGGGAAAGAUGGAGCAAUCUAUCACUUAUAGAUGGACCCGCGGCGCAUUAGCUAGUUGGUGAGGUAACGGCUCACCAAGGCGACGAUGCGUAGCCGACCUGAGAGGGUGAUCGGCCACACUGGGACUGAGACACGGCCCAGACUCCUACGGGAGGCAGCAGUAGGGAAUCUUCCGCAAUGGACGAAAGUCUGACGGAGCAACGCCGCGUGAGUGAUGAAGGUUUUCGGAUCGUAAAGCUCUGUUGCCAGGGAAGAA